GGAUUUAAUCGAGAGCACAGCAACACUUGUCUCUUGAGAUUUUGUCACAUAUCUAAUGCAAAUUACUUUUCUGUUGCUUUUUAUUUUACCAAAUCCCACAACAUGCCACUCGUCUGCCAUUUAUAUUUAGAGGAAGAAACAUAAAGAUGUAUUUGCUACACCUGCAGCAAAUACAGGGGGCUCAUUGCCUGAAGGGCAGCCUGGUCCAUCCUUAGACAAUGCUGUGCACUGUGCCUCGGAGCUCAAGCUCACGUCCCUCAAACUCCUCUGGGAAUCUCUCUGACCCUGGAGCCCAGCACUGAGGUCACUCUCCAGAAAAUCCUAAGCCACAGAUAAGCAGCUGCCAAUAAGUUUUGUAAAAAGCCAUCUCAGGGUGUUUGCCAAUGAAACCAGCGUAGCAGCAUAGUUUUAUUCAGAGUUGUCAGUCUGAGGAAGGGUUUCCCAGGUGGCUUGGUGGUAAAGACCCUGCCUGCCAAUGCAGAAGAUGCAGGAUCAAUCCCUGGGUCGGGAAGAUCCCCUGGAGACGGAAAUGGCAAUGCACCCCAGUAUUCUUGCCUAGUAAAUUCCAUGGACAGAGGAGCCUGGCAGGCUACAGUCUGUGGGGUUGCAAAGAGUUGGACAUGACAGAACACGAACGCGUGUCAGUCUGAGGCAGCACACAGGCACUCUGAUGAGUGGGAAUGUGGCAGAAUCAUCUUAAUAAUAAGGGCUCACCCAGACCAGGUGUCAGGCACUAUUCAAAUGCUUUCACGUGGAGCAACUCAUCUAGUACUUCCAACCCUUCAGUGAGGCAGGUGCUAGGAAAUGGAGACUUAGAGAGGUCAAGUG
This is a long non-coding RNA of Bos taurus (domestic cattle), 828 nucleotides long. Lineage: Eukaryota; Metazoa; Chordata; Mammalia; Artiodactyla; Bovidae. The record is from Ensembl.